Non-coding RNA from Arachis ipaensis, 898 nucleotides. NCBI's taxonomy places the organism in Eukaryota, Viridiplantae, Streptophyta, Magnoliopsida, Fabales, Fabaceae. The record is from RefSeq and is a predicted model, not a curated record.
UCUUUUUAAUGAUUCUUAAUCUUUGGGGAAUUCAUUGAGAUCUUGCCACACUUUUUCUUACUUCCAAUCCAUCCAUUCAUUCGCAUUCCAUUUCUUGAAGAAUUCAAUUACCCUCCCCUCUUUCUUCUCAUUCUUCCAGUCCCAAAUCCCUAUCUUCCUUAUUCUGCUUAAUCCAAGAUAUUGAACUCUUGGGAUAAGACAGCUAGUCCUUGGAUUGGAUAGAGUUACUUGUUGUGAGGGAUCAUGACACCAUAUCACAUGAUUCUGAUGUUGUUCGCUGGGACCUUCAUAAUCUCUUAGAUGUUUGCACACUUUCCAAUAAUGGUUCUCCUAGUAUCAUAACUAGACAUGAUCCGGAUUUAAGUAGCAGCCUAGAAUAUGUUAGAGAAGGCUUCUGUCAGCCUUCGUAGGUGGAGAAUGAUGAAGCUGUUGCUCGUGCUUACCAGGAAGAAUUAUCACAACUUGAAUCCUUGGAAGCUUCUGGGAUGUCGAAAUUUGGGAACGAUCAAGUGCAGGCAGCCGUACUUGCACAGGAUUGGCAUUCUUACUGAGAUGGAAGCAGAAAUUUUGGUGGCAAUGAAAAUUGUGUGGCUGUAUUGAUGUUGUCAUGGUUCACUGAUAGCUUGAUGUGUGGCUGUAUUAAGAAUGGUGAGUGAAUGGGGUGAUCAUGUCACAUUGCAGGCUGCUGCCGAUUGGGUGUGAUGAAAUAUACCAUUUUCAUUUUGUAUUUGCCUUCCCUAUUUAUUAUGAUAUCCUUCUUUUUGGCUUGCAAUUUCAAAGUCAGUGUUCUUUAUCUGUUUGAUUCUAUUGGAUUCAUGUAAAGCAUUCUUUGUAUCUUUUAGAGGCCAUCUUAGCAGGUAUGGUUUAUCUUUUUUCUAUGAAGUCACAUUUACACUUA